UGCUUGGCGUUGGACGGUUUUGGUUGAUUGCCAUCGACCCCUCCUAAAGACAAUGACGGCGGCCUGUGGAAUCCCCGGUACACUGAGCUUUUAACUGAGCACGUAUCGGAUAAGGGUGCCCGGGACACGGUCCUCUCCUUGUAUUAGGAAACUUUUUAAAGGUUGACCUCGGAUCAGGUAGGAAUACGCGCUGAACUUAA
RNAcentral lists this unclassified non-coding RNA (200 nucleotides) under soil metagenome. Its description in RNAcentral is "partial contains internal transcribed spacer 2 and large subunit ribosomal RNA". The record is from RNAcentral.